GAAUAGCAUCUUGACUGGAGAGAGAGCCACCAUACCGGAGGAACAGAGGAGGAGACGGCGAGGCUGCAGAGCGGGGAUUAAACGGAGGAUGAUGAAGAGGAGGUGUGGGAGAGAAACAGGAUUUGGGGGUAAUAAAAUAGAUGUGCCCCUGGUCAAAAGGUUGAGUUUAUGAUAGGAAGAGCCAGGGGGAAGUCACACAUCAAAGGACCAUUUGGUGAGAGAGACCUGGAUUUACAGGGGUAACAUUUGCAAGACACACAGGGGUUUUCAUUGUUUGUGAUGUAAUGAGAUGCACUGAAAUGUAUAUAAGGGACAGCAUUUUGGAAGUCGGGAGAGAACAUCCACGACGUGACCUUCUCUCCAUGCAGCAUGAAUUAAAUUGACUUGAUUAUCA
This is a long non-coding RNA of Dicentrarchus labrax (European seabass), 394 nucleotides long. RefSeq lists it as uncharacterized. The record is from RefSeq and is a predicted model, not a curated record. The transcript is spliced from 2 exons. NCBI's taxonomy places the organism in Eukaryota, Metazoa, Chordata, Actinopteri, Moronidae.